CGAAGGACUCAAAAAUGAAAAUAAAUCAGCAAAAAUUGGACCUUAUUGAUUUUAGAUUAUAAUUGAUUCAAUUAAAUACUUUGGUCUACAGUUACUGAAUGGGGAGCACUUCUACCCAAACGUUUAUUAUGUGUAACAUUGUAUUGACUUAAAAGGAGAAACCACAGGCAUUGAAUUCCACUCUCCCAAUGAGAUCACAUCAUUCUAAAGGAGUGAACAGCAUCUUACCUACUAGUAAGGCUACUUUAGGUUUGUGUAGACAAACUAUUUUCAUAACGCCUUACAUUAUGCAUCUGGUAUAGAGGACUUAAAGGCUGGAAACUCUUCAUUGAGGACAGUAAGAUGAAUAUUGAGACUUUUACUCAUGGUAUAUGUUCUCAUGUUCUCCAGUUUGUGUGGUCAGGUGAAUGGAUGUAGAAAAGGUAUCUGAAUGAUAAGAGCACCCUAAGCCAAAGCAAUGUUGAAUCUUAGCCAGGUAAAAAACAAAAAUUAUUAUAGAGUGUAUACUAUACUUGUUAUUAAACCAACAUAUGGAAGGAACCUAGAAUUCUCCAGAAUUCCAUGCGAGCUCUAGAGAGAAUAAAAACCAAGUCUUCUGACCACCCAACCGACUCACAGACUGACGAAAUCUAGGUUGUUUUUGUAAGUAUUAAGCAGACCUCCCCAGUCACCAUUGUCUGUGGUUGUUAGAUCAUGAUUUGAUUUAAAGAUGCAAUUAAACAUUACUAGUGCGUUCAUUAGCUAAACUGGGAAACUGUGGAGAACGUGCACGGGAAAGGACAAAUUUAGACCAAAGUAGCUGAAUUGGAAGAAUUCUCCAAAUCAAACACUUUCUUAGCUAGCUUGGCUUUUUUGACAAAUAAUUUGCUGUUCUGCACAAUCGUUCUGACAGAAAUCCCUGCAUUUCUGUCAGUUUUAAAACAAAUAAUAGAUAUUUUCUUUUUAUAAAACUGGUGCUUUGAAUGGAUUUUAAGUAACAGAUAUAAUUCUGAAAGAGAACGUUAUAGCAAUUCAAUAAUGAGAAAUGCAUUUAAAUAACAAUGAUGUCAAUUUAUAGUUUUUUGAACAUUCGGAUAUGUGCCCAC
Non-coding RNA from Pelobates cultripes (western spadefoot toad), 1085 nucleotides. Lineage: Eukaryota; Metazoa; Chordata; Amphibia; Anura; Pelobatidae. The record is from the annotation of a GenBank genome assembly.